RNAcentral lists this ribosomal RNA (254 nucleotides) under uncultured bacterium. RNAcentral's name for it is "partial 16S ribosomal RNA". It matches the Rfam family "Bacterial small subunit ribosomal RNA", at positions 524 to 776 of the family's 1533-position model. The record is from RNAcentral.
GACAGAGGGUGCGAACGUUGCUCGGAAUUACUGGGCGUAAAGCGUGUGUAGGCGGCCACGCAAGUCGGAUGUGAAAGCCCUGGGCUCAACCCAGGAAGUGCACCCGAUACUGCGACGGCUUGAGUACCGGAGAGGUUGGUGGAAUUCUCGGUGUAGAGGUGAAAUUCGUAGAUAUAGGAAGGAAUACCAGUGGCGAAGGCGGCCUCCUGGAUCGACACUGACGCUGAGGCGCGAAAGCGUGGGGAGCAAACAGG